This 148-nucleotide unclassified non-coding RNA is filed under the name Gigaspora sp. Its description in RNAcentral is "partial internal transcribed spacer region". The stretch from base 1 to 46 matches the Rfam family "Eukaryotic small subunit ribosomal RNA", at positions 1786 to 1831 of the family's 1831-position model. Lineage: Eukaryota; Fungi; Glomeromycota; Glomeromycetes; Diversisporales; Gigasporaceae. The record is from RNAcentral.
AAGUCGUAACAAGGUUUCCGUAGGUGAACCUGCGGAAGGAUCAUUAAAAAAUGAGGUAUUUUAUACCUCUUGUAUUUAAAACCCAACCCUUUUAAAAUAUAUUUUUUUCAAAAAAAAAAAACUUUCAACAAUGGAUCUCUUGGCUCUC